GACAGAGGUGCCAAGCGUUAGGCGGAAUCACUGGGCUUAAAGCGUGUGUAGGCGGAUCUGUAAGUACCUUGUGAAAUCCCACGGCUCAACCGUGGAACUGCUUGGUAUACUGCGGGUCUUGAGCCACCUAGGGGCAAGUGGAACAAACGGUGGAGCGGUGAAAUGCGUAGAUAUCGUUUGGAACGCCAAUGGUGAAAACAACUUGCUGGGGGUGUGCUGACGCUGAGACACGAAAGCCAGGGGAGCAAACGGG
This 253-nucleotide ribosomal RNA is filed under the name uncultured bacterium. RNAcentral's name for it is "partial 16S ribosomal RNA". It matches the Rfam family "Bacterial small subunit ribosomal RNA", at positions 524 to 776 of the family's 1533-position model. The record is from RNAcentral.